Oncorhynchus tshawytscha (Chinook salmon) is the source of this 1801-nucleotide long non-coding RNA. The record is from Ensembl. Lineage: Eukaryota; Metazoa; Chordata; Actinopteri; Salmoniformes; Salmonidae.
GGGAGUUGGAGCCUCCGGACCCCUUGGCCAGACUGCCUCAGCUCAAACACCGCAUCAAGCAGCUCCUCACAGACCUGAGCAAGGUGCAACAGAUGAGCACCCUGUGUUCUGUGUGAGUUUGGGUUGGCCUGACCUAGGUAGCAUCUGGCCCGUGUCUGGCCUGGGUUAGCAUGGCAACAGCACCAGGCAUCUGGUGUCAUCACAGCACUUCACAGAGGAGAGUCCUAUCCAAACCCAGGGUGAACCCCAUCCUCUCUCUGGCACCGAAGCACACCGUCUGCUGUGGUCCAUAAACUGUCAAACUGAGCAUACCUUCUCCUCCUAGACAGACUGUGGGAGUGAAGCUUCAGUUGGCUCAAUACAAGGGGGAUGAAUACAUGUAUAGAGACCAACAGGAAAGAGUUGAGUCCAGUGGACUCUUGGUAUUGGAAAGAAGGGUGUUUUGAGUUGGAGUAACUGACAAGUAUUGAGUUGACGAAAUGGGACUUGUGGAUGAAAAGUACCAGCUUAACACAGUGUUAGUUUGUAGGGCCCAGGACGUUUGUUGUUUUAACUAAGACUCCCUGUUAUGAAGUGUCCACAACGUUUUCAUAACCAGGAAAUGAGGGUUUGUCCACGUACAUUAAAUCUGUUCACACGCAUUCUAUGAUAUAGCUGAAAUUCAAUUUAAUUCAAUUAGAUUAUUAAAAUGCUAUGAGAUCACCUCGUCAUGGGUCCGUCCCAAAUAGAACCCUAUUCCGUUUAUAGUGCACUACUUUAGACUGUAGUACACUACAGUAUGUAGGGAAUAUAUAGGGGGCCAUUUGGGAAACGACCCAUCACUCUCUUGCCUCAGUAGGAGCAGAGCUGUGGAAGCCUUGCUUGUGUGAUAUGAGUUCAUGCAGAAACUAAAUCACCAAGGUGAAUGUUAGAUGAUAUUGUAGCAAGCUUUAACCUGCCAGAAAUCUGUUCUGUUUUGGAAACGUGGUCUGAAACUUGUUUGACAUGUUUUAAAAUUUCGAGUUGCCCCUCAAGUUCACACUAGGGUGAGAUGAUUUGUUAUUAAAAAAACAGUGCUAACAUCAGUCAUUUAGCGACUGCAUUCUGAUUUCAUUUCAGGAAUCUAUUGCCACCUUUUACAAUCGUUAACUUUCAUUCUCUUUAUGUGCCAAGUCUGAAGGUAUGACCCACCAAGUUUACAAUGUUAACAUGGGGAAAGAUAUAUAUUUUGACUGGUGUAUAUAAUAUACCCAAUCCACAGACAGACAUACGACUGUGUGUCUUCAGGAUAUCUCCAUGACAACCCCGGAAAUGGCCUUGAUGUCACGGGACAUCUGUGGCACGUUUGGAAUAGGGUGCCAUUUGUGGACGUAGCCUCUGUCUGUGGGGUUUUUGAUGCUUUCAGUACGGCCCCAGUAUGGCUGCUAACACCACAAUAUCUUCGGGCUAAGGGGACACGUUUGACUUGUACCACAGUAAGCUAAAUUGCCAGCUGGAUGUAAAAUGCGUAUUAAAAAAAAAGCAAUGUGUUGAUUGCUGUUUUUUGGGUCAUUUUAUGUACAGUUUUUCUAACUGUAAAGAUGAGGAAACAUCUAUAGAAAUGCAUAAGAGGAUAAAAUAUACUUGAAGAAAAAUGACUAUGUUUAUUUAGCGUUUCUAUUAACCUGUAUAAAAAGUGUUUUAGAACCAGUCGGUAGGGGAGAAAAGAAAGUAGAUUUUUAUUGACAUAUACCAGCUGUACAUUAAGAGUUUAUUUAAGACCUGUUCUUUGUGAUUUACAACAUGUACAAUGCCAUUAAAAAAAGAUAUUCUGGAUAUUAAA